RNAcentral lists this ribosomal RNA (253 nucleotides) under uncultured bacterium. RNAcentral's name for it is "partial 16S ribosomal RNA". It matches the Rfam family "Archaeal small subunit ribosomal RNA", at positions 474 to 727 of the family's 1478-position model. The record is from RNAcentral.
UACCAGCACCCCGAGUGGUCGGGACGAUUAUUGGGCCUAAAGCAUCCGUAGCCGGUUCUACAAGUCUUCCGUUAAAUCCACCUGCUCAACAGUUGGGCUGCGGAGGAUACUAUAGAGCUAGGAGGCGGGAGAGGCAAGCGGUACUUAGUGGGUAGGGGUAAAAUCCGUUGAUCCAUUGAAGACCACCAGUGGCGAAGGCGGCUUGCCAGAACGCACUCGACGGUGAGGGAUGAAAGCUGGGGGAGCAAAUCGG